UCUAUAAUAUAGUCUUCUUUUUUGAAUAAAAUAAAGGUUAGAUGUUCAUCUGUCAAAUAUUAAAUAAUCUCUCCGGAAUAAUAAACUAAAUAUAAAUGAAAUUAUUUCAAAUAAUAUUAAGAUUUGUAACUAUAUUAAUGCAUUGGCAGGCACACUGAUAGAACAUAUUUAAUUGUGAAAGUUAUUGUUAUGUUAUUUUUAAAGUUUUAAAUGACAAAAAACGGAUGUUACCUCGUUAUUUAUUAAGAGGUACACAGAGACCACUAUAAGCUAUACAGAUAGUAGAAAGUAGAGUUCUUACAACUAAAGUAAAUGAAAUCUUUGAGACAUACAUCUUAAGGCUCAAGGAAAAUUGUAUUCAAUAGUAGAAGCUUGGAAUAAUUUACACAUUUCCCACAUUAAAGUCAGUGUUAUACAGAAGGGUCUAUUAGAUUAAUUUCAGCUACUGAGGAAUUUAAAGAGAAAAUAAUUAUGUUUGCGAACCCAAAACAAAUGUGUAUCUAGCAUUUUUAAAUAUCUUUGGAAAAAAAUAGACGGACGAACCUUUAGAUAGAGACCUAUAUUUUGCUAGGGGGAUUACUUAAUGGGGGAGUUGUAGGAUUGUCUAUUGGUAUAGUGUGUACCUACCAUAAACAAGAACCAAUUCUGAGAUAUAUGCAAGCCAUCCAUUGAUUGUAUUAAUUAUUAUUUGAGUGCAGAUUGCAGAGGUUUAUAUACUCAUAUGGAAAAACAAAUACAAAAGAAAUUACAAUUAUUACAAAUCAUAUUUUCCAGUCAAUGAGCAUUGUAGAAGAUGCAUUUGCUCCAUAUGAAUGUAUCAAUAAUAAAUUUCUAGUUAAUGUCAAAGCAGCAGCUUCAAUUCAAUUAAUUGACAUAAAAAUAUGCAAUAUUAUAUGGGAGGAACUUGAGAAGGAUUUUACAAAGAAUGUAUUCUUCAGUAAGUGAACUUAUGACGAGAACUGGACAAAAAUGCAAAUAAUUUUACAUGGUAGCAAUCAAAUUCAAAGUUACCCAUCAUCCUUUCACAACUUUUCUUCACCAUUUUCAAAACUUAUGAAAUGAUUAUUAUGUCAUUAGGAAUAAUCUGCUUUGAUUAAUAUUCUAAUAUAUAUUAUACACUUUUAAUAGUUAUAACUAGUAUAAAAUAAAAUCAGCUAUAAAAUAGUUACAUAAUACAUUCCAAAAAUGUUAAAGAUGCAAAUUAAAAAACGAAUAUAAAUUUAAUUUAAAGCAAAAAUCUACUGUAAAAUUAUAAAUAUUCCACUUGUGCGAGAUGAUUAAAUCUCCAUGUAUUUAGUUCAAAUGAAAACAGAACUCGAUUCGUAAUUUUUUUUUUUUCGAAAAUGAUUAAAUCAAAGAUGUAUUCUAGAUUGCUUUUUUUAUCAAUAAAUUUCUUAUGCAGUUUUAUUAUAUUUCAACUGCUUUCCUGAUAUCAUCUCUGGGAUGUGGAAAAAUUUGGGAAGAAGGGGAAUAUGACAGGAUCAAAUGGACAAAAACGGCCUGUUUUAUAUUAUAUUGUGUCCCGCAUAAGAACCGACUCAGCAGAGGCGUAUAGGGGUUGUCAAAAAAAGACGAUUGGGGAUCAUACAUCUCUAUAUCAAUUUUUUCCCCGAAGAAUUGAAGAACAUCAGAGUGGGGACCAAAAUUUCGAAAAAAAAAAUGUUUUCUUUGUAACCCUCUAACAUAAAAAUAGCAAAUUUGGUACACUUGAUGAGACUGUUAAGGGGAUCAAGUAACGGUGAGUAGAAGGCGAACGAACCACUCUAGGGGGAUUAAUUAUUCAUUGAAUUCAUUAAAUCUUCGAACAUUAUUAUUGAAAAGUAAUGAACGUUCUGUAUAAUUAGUGUCCAAGCAAGAUUUAUACUCAAUGAUAGUACAAUUAAACCUCAUUAUGGAAAAUUUUCUCAAUUGUUUCAAAGGAUUUUUAUAAUCUGAAUUAAUUCCUUCUUACUGAUUAGUAAUUUUAGCCAUCGUAUGUUCAGAAAAACAAUUGUUAUUCUAUAAGAAAUUCUUAAGGUGUAGGUAGAUUGUUUAGAAUUCAAUGUUUUUAAUGGUUUACUACUAUGGAGUCUGAUAUGUUUAUUUUAGAUAUAUUUUACGGACCAUCAUUACACCAUUUUUUUUGUUAAAAGGGUUAUUUAUUUUUCUACAUUGGUUAUCGAGAAUUUACAAGAGGUAUAAAAUAUUUGAAAAACAACACGUGCGGUUCAGUUCUAGAACACUUUUUAUCUGUUUGUAGAAUAGUUUGUUUACAUUAUAUCGAGGGUUUAAUGCCCAUAACGAAAAAUGACCGUGCAGACCCUUCUUGGAUGCCUUUGUCUUUGUUCCAAGAAUUGUUUGUUUCGAAUAUAUUUUUUUUAUAUUUAUGAGAUUACAUUCAACAAAAUUCUUAGAGAGAUAAGGACCACCCUACACUAUGAGAAAUUUUAAAAUCACAGUACUCUACAUAAAUAAUCCAAAGUAAUACCAAAAUAAUUAUACUUGUUGAGGAUUUAUUACUGAUAACGAAAAUUGACCGUGUAGCCUCUUUUUAGAUACCUUUAUCUUUGUUGGAAGAAUUUCUUAUUUACUUCUCAUUUUGAUUUUAUUUUUGAUAUUCAUGAGAAAAAUAACGUUUAAUAGAAUAUUUUCUGAUAUCGUUUGUUUAAUUUGGGGAUGAGGACAACCCUACAUUAUGGGAAGUUUUAAAAUCACAGAAUUCUCGAUAUCAAGAUAACAAAAAUGUUUUGAUUUGGUCUGUAUACAUAUGCAGCUAAUUUUUUGGAACUUGAAAUAAAUUUCAGUAACAUUGUUUCAAAUUCAACGAUCCUUAAUUAAUAUAAAAAUUUUCAUGUCAUUUAAUAAUAUUAAGUUAUUGUGAAUUGUAAUAAUUAAAUCUAUGCCAUGAUUUAUUGUAUGUAUUAUAUCUAUCACUAAUUAUUUAAAACUUUCCUAGAAAUAUUAUUAAAAAUAUAUCUUGCUUUAUAUUGCUUUAUUUGUUUUAUCUUUGAAAACACUGUUUUAUUCUAUUUGGAAAUUAUAUAACAAAAUAUGUAAUA
This is a long non-coding RNA of Diorhabda carinulata, 3038 nucleotides long. RefSeq lists it as uncharacterized. The transcript has 3 exons. The record is from RefSeq and is a predicted model, not a curated record. NCBI's taxonomy places the organism in Eukaryota, Metazoa, Arthropoda, Insecta, Coleoptera, Chrysomelidae.